Molecule: ribosomal RNA, 301 nt
Filed under: uncultured bacterium
Lineage: Bacteria
Description: partial 16S ribosomal RNA
Rfam family: Bacterial small subunit ribosomal RNA
Source: RNAcentral
CAGCAGCCACUGUAAUACGAAGGGUGCAAGCGUUACUCGGAAUUACUGGGCGUAAAGCGUGCGUAGGUGGUGGUUUAAGUCCGUUGUGAAAGCCCUGGGCUCAACCUGGGAAUUGCAGUGGAUACUGGGUCACUAGAGUGUGGUAGAGGAUAGUGGAAUUUCCGGUGUAGCAGUGAAAUGCGUAGAGAUCGGAAGGAACAUCUGUGGCGAAGGCGACUAUCUGGGCCAACACUGACACUGAGGCACGAAAGCGUGGGGAGCAAACAGGAUUAGAUACCCCCGUAGUCCCUGUCUCUUAUAC